UUUUUUUUUUUUUUUAAUAUUUUGAUCUACGUAUCUACAACUUUAUCUUGUGAUUUACUAAUUUGAAAUGUUUUUCUUUCAAUUUAGGUUUAAAAAAGGGGCAAGCAGUACGUAUGCAAUAAUCCCUCCAUCUCUCUAUACGGGUCUUAAUGGUUGCAUGGUAUGCUAUUGAAAUCCCUAAAAAAGGGUUUCUAACAUUUGGCAUGGAGAAGCAUACAGGUUGCUUAUUGUGCUGUUGAAACCCCAAAAAAAAAGGGUUUUUAAUAAUAAACAUGGAGAAACAUACAGGUUGCUUGGUAUGCUAUUGAAACCCCUUAAAAAAGGUUUCUCACAGUUUGCAACAAAAAAAAAAACCUUUUCCUCUACUUGUCCCUCCUUUCCACAAAACAAAUGACUACAUUUAUCCAAAUCUCACCCCGUAGUAUUAAAAAUAGAGUAAGUUAAGCCUAUAUAAUUAAUUCAAUUCUUCAUGAGAUAGAGUAGGGUUUAAAAUUAUAGAAAGGGAAUUGUCACCUUUAUUUCUUGAAUAGCUUCAUGAGAUUGAGCGGCUACACCGUAAAUGUGGGGUUUCACCAUGCUGGGGGGGACCGUUGGAGGCUGGAUGCUCAGGGCUGCUGAUCUGUGAGGCCUGCAAUGGAAGAGGAUUCACCAUGCUUGUCCUUUUACUAAUGUUCUAGGAUUACUCUUGAUUUCUGGGAAUGGAAUGGUAAGCUUGUUGGACUAUCCAAGAUGAUUCUGAAGCUCAGAAGCUGUUCUGAUUCUGAGGCUUCUAGCUGCAGGAGUCCCCAAAGCUUGUAGUGGAGGGUGCUCCUGCCACGGCAUAGAUUCCACAAUGGAAAAUGACACAUCAUGCCUAGAAGAGUUUAAUGGCAUUUGAUGAAGCAGUACUGAUAAGCUGCUGUGAGGCUGGAAGGCUGGGAUUAGGAUCUGUUGAUUUGUAAAGUGUAUUUGGGGUGAAGGUCCACCAAGAUUGGUGGUCCCAUGUUGGACUGGACAGUUGCAGCCCCAAUCUGUUUUGUUGAGGAUUGGGGCUGCUUUGGGGUUGAGUGUAAGUUUGUGAGUUGAUCUGACUAAACAGAAGCAACUCUGAAGUUUUUGGACUGCAACUCUUGCUACAGCAUGUCAAAAUAUUGAUAGUUGGACUAAACUGAAGUCUGCACUGAUUCAUAGCUGGGAAUGGAAUGGUAAGCUUGUUGGACUAUCCAAGAUGAUUCUGAAGCUCAGAAGCUGUUCUGAUUCUGAGGCUUCUAGCUGCAGGAGUCCCCAAAGCUUGUAGUGGAGGGUGCUCCUGCCACGGCGUAGAUUCCACAAUAGAAAAUGACACAUCAUGCCUAGAAGAGUUUAAUGGCAUUUGAUGAAGCAGUACUGAUAAGCUGCUGUGAGGCUGGAAGGCUGGGAUUAGGAUCUGUUGAUUUGUAAAGUGUAUUUGGGGUGAAGGUCCACCAAGAUUGGUGGUCCCAUGUUGGACUGGACAGUUGCAGCCCCAAUCUGUUUUGUUGAGG
Long non-coding RNA from Ipomoea nil (Japanese morning glory), 1502 nucleotides. RefSeq lists it as uncharacterized. The record is from RefSeq and is a predicted model, not a curated record. Lineage: Eukaryota; Viridiplantae; Streptophyta; Magnoliopsida; Solanales; Convolvulaceae. The transcript has 3 exons.